AUAGGUACCCGAACACUACCAUUGACCUGUCUAUAUAAUGCAGUAAGUGCUAAUUGUUGGGGUAGUUUGA
Molecule: microRNA precursor, 70 nt
Filed under: Salmo salar (Atlantic salmon)
Lineage: Eukaryota; Metazoa; Chordata; Actinopteri; Salmoniformes; Salmonidae
Description: miR-430 microRNA precursor family
Rfam family: miR-430 microRNA precursor family
Source: Rfam by way of RNAcentral